Molecule: ribosomal RNA, 1947 nt
Filed under: Triticum aestivum (bread wheat)
Lineage: Eukaryota; Viridiplantae; Streptophyta; Magnoliopsida; Poales; Poaceae
Description: partial small subunit ribosomal RNA
Source: RNAcentral
AUGCCGCCGUUCCAGCCCCUCCUCCUCCUUCUGUUUCUCUCUUCUUUUCUCCGGCUGCCGCCGCCGGCGGGUGCGGCAUGCUCGCCCAAGAGAUGCGGCGACCUGAACAUCAGUUACCCGUUCUGGCUGGAGGAGAACGGCCAGACACCGUGCGGGUCCCCGUCCUUCCAGCUCAACUGCAACGGCAGUCAGGCUCUCCUCAGCCGGUCCAUGUUCGGGGGCUACCAGGUCGUCCAGGUCUUCCCCGAGAACUCCUCCUUCGUCGCCGUCGACAACAACCUCCCGCUCGACGACGGCUGCCCCAAGUGGUGGUUCAACAUCUCUGUUGGCAUUGGGCUGGGUCCGUUCGUCAUCAGCAAGAAGAACAUGGAGCUGCUCGUACUCGACAACUGCACGGAGCAGCAGGUGACGCCGCCGGGGUUCAGCCGCACGCGUUGCGCCGACGAGUCCUUCUACCGCCUUGGCGGGGAGUACGGCACCCAUCUUGACUAUCGGGGGGAUCUGCCCCCGGCCUGCCGUCUCUCCGUCGUGCCGGUUCUUGGUUUUCCGGGCGGCGACGGUUACGUCCCGAGCAUGAGGCAAGGGUUCCUGCUUGAGUGGACGGUGCCGUCGGACGAUUGCCCCAAGUGCGAGGCAAGCGGCGGACAGUGCAGGUAUGCCAACGACGGCACCGGAUUUUCCUGCCAUUGCUCCGGCGACGUGUACCCUGAGAAGUGCGGGGACAGUGGAAAGACAAGUAUAAAGUUCAUAAUAGUUGGAGCGGUAGCCGGUUUUGCUGCAUUCUUGGCAUUUGUCUUAUUUGCUUUAUACCAACGAAAGAAGAGCAUACAAGCUGUAGCUUCAAAUGAGUUCACGCGAAGUGGAUCUUCAAUGACGGCAUACAGUAAAGACCUUGAGCUGGGUGGUUCACCUCAUAUUUUCUCUUUCGAGGAACUCGAAGUGGCUACUGAUGGAUUUAGUGCUUCAAGGGAGCUUGGUGAUGGUGGCUUUGGAACUGUUUAUAAAGGAAAACUCAAAGAUGGGAGAGUAGUUGCAGUAAAACGCCUCUAUAAGAACAACUACAGACGGGUUGAGCAGUUCCUGAACGAGGUAGAUAUCCUGUCCCGCCUGCUCCACCAAAACCUUGUCAUCCUUUAUGGCUGCACGUCUCGGAUGAGUCGUGACCUUAUCCUGGUGUACGAGUUCAUCGCAAAUGGGACGGUCGCGGACCAUCUUCACGGAUCCCUUUCGGCAAAACGAGGCCUCACAUGGCCUCUGAGGUUGAACAUUGCCAUAGAAACGGCUGAAGCACUGACCUACCUCCAUGCGGUCGAGAUCAUACAUCGUGAUGUCAAGACGACCAACAUAUUGCUUGACAACAACUUCCAUGUCAAAGUUGCAGACUUUGGGUUGUCGCGCUUGUUCCCACUGGAGGUCACCCAUGUCUCCACUGUUCCACAGGGCACACCGGGCUAUGUCGACCCGGUGUACCACCAGUGCUACAAGCUGACCGACAAGAGUGAUGUGUACAGUUUCGGUGUCGUGCUGGUGGAGCUGAUAUCCUCAAAGCCUGCUGUGGACAUGAGCAGGAGCCACAGUGAGAUCAACCUUGCCAACAUGGCUCUCAACAGGAUUCAGAACCAUGAAGUCGUUCAGUUGGUUGAUUCGGAGCUCGACUACGACACCGACCCCGAAACAAAGAGAACAAUUGACCUAGUGGCCGAGGUGGCCUUCCAGUGCCUGCAGAUGGAGAGGGAUCUGAGGCCGUCGAUCAAGGAGGUGGUGGAGAUUCUGACUUGCGUCAGGGACGGAGACUGUCGGGCUAAGAGCAUGAAGAAGAAGGCGUCUCAGAAAGAGGAUGCGCACUUGCUCAUGGAUGACCCGCAGUUUUCGCCUGACUCGGUCAUCCAUAGAUUCCAUAGCCAGUCAACUAAUAACUCGGUAGCAUCGAAUGCUAGCGGGUUAUGA